RNAcentral lists this ribosomal RNA (301 nucleotides) under uncultured bacterium. RNAcentral describes it as "partial 16S ribosomal RNA". It matches the Rfam family "Bacterial small subunit ribosomal RNA", at positions 509 to 807 of the family's 1533-position model. The record is from RNAcentral.
CAGCAGCCGCGGGAAUACGUAGGUGGCAAGCGUUGUCCGGAAUUAUUGGGCGUAAAGGGCUCGCAGGCGGUUUCUUAAGUCUGAUGUGAAAGCCUCCGGCUCAACCGGGGAGGGUCAUUGGAAACUGGGAAACUUGAGUGCAGAAGAGGAGAGUGGAAUUCCACGUGUAGCGGUGAAAUGCGUAGAGAUGUGGAGGAACACCAGUGGCGAAGGCGACUCUCUGGUCUGUAACUGACGCUGAGGAGCGAAAGCGUGGGGAGCGAACAGGAUUAGAUACCCCUGUAGUCCCUGUCUCUUAUAC